Molecule: unclassified non-coding RNA, 345 nt
Filed under: uncultured Dothideomycetes
Lineage: Eukaryota; Fungi; Ascomycota; Dothideomycetes
Description: sequence contains ITS1
Source: RNAcentral
AAUCCAAGAAUUUCACCUCCAACAAUUGAAUACUGAUGCCCCCGACUAUCCCUAUUAAUCAUUACGGCGGUCCUAGAAACCAACAAAAUAGGAUCGCACGUCCUAUUCUAUUAUUCCAUGCUAAUGUAUUCGAGCAAAGGCCUGCUUUGAACACUCUAAUUUUUUCAAAGUAAAAGUCCUGGUUCCCCGACACGGCCAGUGAAGGCCAUGCGGCUCCCCAGAAGGAAAGGCCCGGCCGGACCAGUACACGCGGUGAGGCGGACCGGCCAGCCAGGCCCAAGGUUCAACUACGAGCUUUUUAACUGCAACAACUUUAAUAUACGCUAUUGGAGCUGGAAUUACCGC